This is a non-coding RNA of Physcomitrium patens, 943 nucleotides long. The record is from RefSeq and is a predicted model, not a curated record. Lineage: Eukaryota; Viridiplantae; Streptophyta; Bryopsida; Funariales; Funariaceae.
CACUCACACUGUAAAACAGCCUGUGAACUCUGUAAAACGACCUAUGAACUUUGACCCAUCCAUGCAACCAUCUAGAACCAUCCAUCCAGAACCACUACUUGUCUCCUUGAGCAUUCUUAAUAUAUAGAAUACCCUGAACCUCAUGUCAUGAUUAUUAGCUGCAUUCUCGCGUCAAGAAGGAGAAGCAUCGGAAGUUACGUCUGAACGUGAUGAGCUCGUAAAUCAACGAUAUCUCUGUGAACACGAAAGCUUUAAAGCCGCCCUAAUGAGUUCCAAGCACUCGCAAAUGAUGAGGACAUGAAACCAAAAUAUGUGGAUCGUCACUCAACUGGUUGCUUCUACGGUGCGGCAAUCGUGCAACACAGGCCACGAAGAGUCUUGCAGUCCGCAUGGACAUUCGCCUCAUCAUUCCCACGACAACUGCAUGAUGUCGGAAAAUUAGCAUGUUUUUGACGGCAACGAUUGCAAACUAUGAUUAUGUAGAGGACUCUCAGAUGAAUCAAAAUAUGCAGAGAUCUUCAACACUCCGAUCCUUACUAAACAAGACUGAACAUUGAGGGAAUAGAUGUUCAAGAGUUCACAUGCUUCAGAAUGCUUCACAAGGCUGAAGAUAACGCCGUUACCACAUCCUGAGGAAUUUUUGUCUAAAGUUUUAAGUCAUGUUGUAAUCAAACUCCACAUUUCCAAGUAUGGGGUAGAAUUUCUGUCAUUCCACUAAGUUUGUGCUUCUGCAACAGCAGGAAGUCACUUGAGGGGUGGAAGAAUUUAUUGUAGUUUCUUAGUUCAUGAAGCUUUACUAAAUCAAAGAGAUGUCUGUCUGAUGUCUAGGGAACUAAGGUUGGUUUUCAGAUGAGAAUUACUGAAGAUCUUAAGGGUCAACUAAUCAUUUGAUGUUGGCUCAAAAUUAAGUGAAGUUUAUGUUUGUGACUUUUUGGUGUUGUUA